This 1481-nucleotide long non-coding RNA is filed under the name Homo sapiens (human). RNAcentral describes it as "HSALNT0020997". The record is from RNAcentral. Lineage: Eukaryota; Metazoa; Chordata; Mammalia; Primates; Hominidae.
CAUAAAUGCUGAAACCCCUUGCACAGCUCUUGGAACAGAGACACAACAUGCAAAUGUUAAUCCCCUGCUUCUCCCGCCUGGAUUGUGCCUCUGCUUAGCAGGGACGGGCAACUCCUUGGUAUACGAGCACAGAGGCAAAACCAGGAGGUGCAAACAUAACCAGCUUCAUUUAAAUGAGGACAAACUGGAGCAGGAAAAGAACCGGCAAAUUCAUGUUGGAAGAAGCUAGAGCGGGCAUAGCUAGCAGCCUGCUCUCUCGCACAGCUGAAGGAAAUCUAUGUGGAUCACCUUGUUACUUAUGGAUGGGUUUUAUAAUCCUGCACCUUUGUGGAUUUAAGAUUUCUGUAGAUUUAGGGCAGGGUUUUAUUCUACCAAUUAGUCUUUCUUUUCCUCCCUCCCAUUAUGUGUUCUUCAAGCUCUUUAAUUUUAUCUUCAACUGCACUGGCCGAGACCGUUUCCCCCAUUAACUAUUUGUGAUCACAGUUUACUGCAAGCCUGCUUGACCCAGCUUAUAUCUAAGGAUUAUGGGGUCAUGUGAUUCAGAGUUGGGAGAGAAUAGAAUCCAACUCCCUCCAGAGCCAGAGUCUUCUUCCCAAGGCUCUUUCAGACCCUGCCUCAGUUCUACUUCUUCAACAAGGAGGUUGUCACUUUCUGAGGAAGGCUGCUUCCUUUCAGUGGUAAAGAAGCACAUCUGCAAGAAAGUUCUUUCUUCUCCUAUCCCUUUAAGAUUUAAACCAAGAUGAGUGAGUGAUGCUGUGUUUGGGAGUAGGCAUUUGACUCCUUUCUGACACCACUGGGAGCCCCACACGGCCUUGGGCCUUGGCGGAUUCCACAGGGAACUGACAACAUUCUUUGGAGAGACACUGAAACAACCAGCCCCACUCUAUCCUCUCGAAAUGCCUCCAAGGAUCCCAGACUUUUGUGAAAGGAGGUAGUCGAAGGACUCUAGGGACGCUUGAGCCUAGAAGACGAUGAACAACCUCUUUCUUACACUUGAGUCAGGGCUCAGUUCUGCUCUGAGAUCCUGCAACUCUUCUUUGUAGACACCAGCCAAUGGCACUCUUGAAAUUUUUGAAAACAGGAUCCUACAGAGACUUGUGUGUAUAUCUCCACAGACCAAGUAUUAAACUACCACUUCAGCGCCAUGGUUCUUUGUGAUUUUAAAUGUGGGUGAGUGGGUGUCCAAGUGCUGAAACCUCAAUUCUAGGCUUCUGAAAUCUAGAAGGAAUAACCAUCUGAGUGUGAAGGAAAGAACACAAUUUCUUUAAACUCUACACCAGCUGCACAAAAAGAGAGAAGAAAACUAGAAAAUUAGCCCUGAGUUUCUGCAUCAGGUGGAAGGUCAGCUUCAGAGAGUAGACUGUAGCUCCUGGAAUUUGAUCCUUCUAUUCAAAAGCAAGUGACUGUGGGCUGAGUAGCUCCUGGGCUUGGUGCUACUCAAGGGAUAUAGGAAUGCGCAAGCCUUAGGUCACCUUGCUCUC